This is a long non-coding RNA of Lucilia sericata (common green bottle fly), 1088 nucleotides long. RefSeq lists it as uncharacterized. The transcript is spliced from 3 exons. The record is from RefSeq and is a predicted model, not a curated record. Lineage: Eukaryota; Metazoa; Arthropoda; Insecta; Diptera; Calliphoridae.
ACCAUUCAUUCCUUUUUUUUUACAUAUGUAUGUUUUUUUUUGCAAAAAUUUUAACGGGAUAUUCUUGAAGAUUUGCUUCUAGAAUUUGACAAUUUUUGUAACCAAGUCAUUAUUGAAGUGAACGUUGAAAAUAAAACAUCAAAUACGGAAAAGGAAAAGGAUAGUGAGACAAUUUAAUAGCCCAGGUGUCCUUGGAGCGAAUUAUUAUUUAAGAAUUUUCUUUAAGGAAACUUAAUAGUACGAGGAAAAAAUUUCAAGUGUGAUUCCUGGGUGUCGGCAGAUAUUGUGAGGACUAUUAACAGUUCCAUUGAAGGACUGCGGAAAGAGUCUCCAGUUUUUGGAUAUAUGAGUGCACACGUGGUCCACUCGUCACGUCUACCCAAAUUUUAAGGAGGUAUUGUUAAACCUCAUGGUUAUUAGCCCACGUGGUCCUCUUGUCACGCCAACCCACAUGGACCUACUGUCACCCAUACCCUGGUGUCAAAGAGGUUGUUGGAAGCCUCAGUCGUUUUAGCCCACGUAGUCCUGUCACGCCAACCCACGUGGACCAACCGCCACCCUUACCCGAGUGCCAAAUAGGUUGUUUGAAACCUCAUUUGUUUUAUCACACGUGGUCCUACUUCCAAAUUUUGCCACGUGCCAAGAAGAUUUGUGAAACCUUGGAUUAUAAACACACGUGGUGAGAACAUAACUAUAACCACGUGUCACCAAUCAUCUAAUCGGAUAAGUAAAACGAAAAUCAAAAUUUUUAAGUGACCAAAAAAAAAAAAAAAGAAAAAAACAAUAAUUCGACGGUUCUAGUAAAUUAAUUUACAUAAGGAAAGAUAUUUUGAUCUAAGUGACUCGAUAUAAUACAAAUUAGAAUACCUAAAAUUAAGUACAUAAUAUUCUCGGAAUUGACGAUUUUUUUUUAAAUCUAUUAAAAUUAGUUAUUCUGAAAUAACAGCAAAAGGAAGAAAAAAUCUAUUGGAAAUUAUGUUUUAAUAUUAAAUUUGCAGAAAUAGAAGAAUCGAAUAUUUUGCUAAUAUCAAUUAUAAUCAAUAGUCUAAUCCAAAAUAAUCGCAAUUUUCAUAAUACUAAAUCCAUAA